AGUGAACGCUGGCGGUAGGCCUAACACAUGCAAGUCGAACGGCAGCACAGUAAGAGCUUGCUCUUACGGGUGGCGAGUGGCGGACGGGUGAGGAAUACAUCGGAAUCUACUUUUUCGUGGGGGAUAACGUAGGGAAACUUACGCUAAUACCGCAUACGACCUACGGGUGAAAGCAGGGGAUCUUCGGACCUUGCGCGAUUGAAUGAGCCGAUGUCGGAUUAGCUAGUUGGCGGGGUAAAGGCCCACCAAGGCGACGAUCCGUAGCUGGUCUGAGAGGAUGAUCAGACACACUGGAACUGAGACACGGUCCAGACGCCUAAGGGAGGCAGCAGUGGGGAAUAUUGGACAAUGGGCGCAAGCCUGAUCCAGCCAUACCGCGUGGGUGAAGAAGGCCUUCGGGUUGUAAAGCCCUUUUGUUGGGAAAGAAAAGCAGCAGGUUAAUACCCCGCUGUUCUGACGGUACCCAAAGAAUAAGCACCGGCUAACUUCGUG
Molecule: ribosomal RNA, 492 nt
Filed under: uncultured bacterium
Lineage: Bacteria
Description: partial 16S ribosomal RNA
Rfam family: Bacterial small subunit ribosomal RNA
Source: RNAcentral